GCAGCGGCGGCGGCGGCAGGAGGAGGAGGAAGGCGCGGGAGGCGCGCGGCAGAGGCGAGGCGGCUGCGGAAUACGGGCAGCGCAAGGAGCAAACUCGAGCCAUUCCUUGAGGCUGCAGGAUCAGCAGAAACCUGAGAGCGUAUUGCCCAAGAGACCAGCUGUGGACCAGGACCCAGUUGUGCUAGGUACCAACACAGAAUAAAAAGACAAUCCCGGCUCCAAAGAGAUCAGAAAGUUAUUCACCCUUUUUUAAAAAAUCAGCAACUGUAUUUGACUCAACAUCCUCUUACGGCAGUGAAUUCCAGUGUCCGACUACAUGCUACGCAGAGCUGGCUGCAAGAUAUUCUUAAAAUGGUGUAUUCAAUACAUUUGGCUAUUUUUGCAUAAAUAAAACAAUGAACAUA
Chelonia mydas (Green sea turtle) is the source of this 404-nucleotide long non-coding RNA. RefSeq lists it as uncharacterized. NCBI's taxonomy places the organism in Eukaryota, Metazoa, Chordata, Testudines, Cheloniidae. The record is from RefSeq and is a predicted model, not a curated record. The transcript has 2 exons.